CUACGGGUCGCAGCAGUGAGGGAUUUUGCGCAAUGGGGGGAACCCUGACGCAGCAACGCCGCGUGAGUGGAGAAGGCUUUUGGGUCGUAAAGCUCUGUCGACAGGGAAGAAGUUAUUUUGUAUUAAUAGUAUGAGAUAUUGACGGUACCUGUAGAGGAAGCACCGGCUAACUCCGUGCCAGCAGCCGCGGUAAUACGGGGGGUGCGAGCGUUAUUCGGAAUUAUUGGGCGUAAAGGGCGCGUAGGCGGAUUUGUUAGUCAGAUGUGAAAUUCCAAGGCUUAACCUUGGGCGUGCAUUUGAAACGGCAAGUCUUGAGUACGGUAGAGGAGAGUGGAAUUCCUGGUGUAGAGGUGAAAUUCGUAGAUAUCAGGAGGAACACCGAAGGCGAAGGCAGCUUUCUGGUCCGAUACUGACGCUGAAGUGCGAAGGCGUGGGGAGCAAACAGGAUUAGAUACCCCCGUAGUC
Molecule: ribosomal RNA, 465 nt
Filed under: uncultured bacterium
Lineage: Bacteria
Description: partial 16S ribosomal RNA
Rfam family: Bacterial small subunit ribosomal RNA
Source: RNAcentral